CCUACGGGGUGCAGCAGUGGGGAAUAUUGGGCAAUGGGCGCAAGCCUGACCCAGCAAAGCCGCGUGAAGGAAGAAGGCCCUCGGGUUGUAAACUUCUUUUAUCAGGGACGAAGCAAGUGACGGUACCUGAUGAAUAAGCCACGGCUAACUACGUGCCAGCAGCCGGGGCAAUACGUAGGUGGCAAGCGUUAUCCGGAUUUACUGGGUGUAAAGGGCGUGUAGGCGGGAAAGCAAGGCAGAUGUGAAAACCAUGGGCUCAACCUGUGGCCUGCAUUUGAAACUGUUGUUCUUGAGUAGUGGAGAGGCAGACGGAAUGCGUAGUGUAGCGGUGAAAUGCGUAGAUAUUAGGAGGAACACCAGUGGCGAAGGCAGUCUGCUGGACAGCAACUGACGCUGAGGCGCGAAAGCGUGGGUAGCAAACAGGAUUAGAUACCCGAGUAGUC
This 443-nucleotide ribosomal RNA is filed under the name uncultured bacterium. Its description in RNAcentral is "partial 16S ribosomal RNA". It matches the Rfam family "Bacterial small subunit ribosomal RNA", at positions 338 to 795 of the family's 1533-position model. The record is from RNAcentral.